RNAcentral lists this ribosomal RNA (699 nucleotides) under Staphylococcus aureus. Its description in RNAcentral is "partial 23S ribosomal RNA". It matches the Rfam family "Bacterial large subunit ribosomal RNA", at positions 837 to 1538 of the family's 2925-position model. The record is from RNAcentral. Lineage: Bacteria; Bacillati; Bacillota; Bacilli; Caryophanales; Staphylococcaceae.
ACCUGGAGAUAGCUGGUUCUCUCCGAAAUAGCUUUAGGGCUAGCCUCAAGUGAUGAUUAUUGGAGGUAGAGCACUGUUUGGACGAGGGGCCCCUCUCGGGUUACCGAAUUCAGACAAACUCCGAAUGCCAAUUAAUUUAACUUGGGAGUCAGAACAUGGGUGAUAAGGUCCGUGUUCGAAAGGGAAACAGCCCAGACCACCAGCUAAGGUCCCAAAAUAUAUGUUAAGUGGAAAAGGAUGUGGCGUUGCCCAGACAACUAGGAUGUUGGCUUAGAAGCAGCCAUCAUUUAAAGAGUGCGUAAUAGCUCACUAGUCGAGUGACACUGCGCCGAAAAUGUACCGGGGCUAAACAUAUUACCGAAGCUGUGGAUUGUCCUUUGGACAAUGGUAGGAGAGCGUUCUAAGGGCGUUGAAGCAUGAUCGUAAGGACAUGUGGAGCGCUUAGAAGUGAGAAUGCCGGUGUGAGUAGCGAAAGACGGGUGAGAAUCCCGUCCACCGAUUGACUAAGGUUUCCAGAGGAAGGCUCGUCCGCUCUGGGUUAGUCGGGUCCUAAGCUGAGGCCGACAGGCGUAGGCGAUGGAUAACAGGUUGAUAUUCCUGUACCACCUAUAAUCGUUUUAAUCGAUGGGGGGACGCAGUAGGAUAGGCGAAGCGUGCGAUUGGAUUGCACGUCUAAGCAGUAAGGCUGAGUAUUAGGCA